RNAcentral lists this ribosomal RNA (465 nucleotides) under uncultured bacterium. RNAcentral describes it as "partial 16S ribosomal RNA". It matches the Rfam family "Bacterial small subunit ribosomal RNA", at positions 338 to 795 of the family's 1533-position model. The record is from RNAcentral.
CCUACGGGAGGCAGCAGUGGGGAAUAUUGCGCAAUGGGCGAAAGCCUGACGCAGCGACGCCGCGUGAGGGAUGAAGGUCUUCGGAUCGUAAACCUCUGUCAGCAGGGAAGAACGGUCACUGUGCUAAUCAGCAGUGAAUUGACGGUACCUGCAAAGGAAGCACCGGCUAACUCCGUGCCAGCAGCCGCGGUAAUACGGAGGGUGCGAGCGUUAAUCGGAAUUACUUGGCGUAAAGCGCUCGUAGGCGGUAUGUCAAGGCAAGGGGUAAAUCCCCGCGCUCAACGUGGGAACUGCCUUUGAAACUGGCAAACUGGAGUGUGUGAGAGGAUAGUGGAAUUCCAGGUGUAGGAGUGAAAUCCGUAGAUAUCUGGAGGAACAUCAGUGGCGAAGGCGACUAUCUGGCACAUAACUGACGCUGAGGAGCGAAAGCGUGGGUAGCAAACAGGAUUAGAUACCCCUGUAGUC